AUGAACGCUGGCGGCGUGCCUAAUCCAUGCAAGUCGAGCGAACGGACGAGAAGCUUGCUUCUCUGAUGUUAGCGGCGGACGGGUGAGUAACACGUGGAUAACCUACCUAUAAGACUGGGAUAACUUCGGGAAACCGUAGCUAAUACCGGAUAAUAUUUUGAACCGCAUGGUUCAAAAGUGAAAGACGGUCUUGCUGUCACUUAUAGAUGGAUCCGCGCUGCAUUAGCUAGUUGGUAAGGUAACGGCUUACCAAGGCAACGAUGCAUAGCCGACCUGAGAGGGUGAUCGGCCACACUGGAACUGAGACACGGUCCAGACUCCUACGGGAGGCAGCAGUAGGGAAUCUUCCGCAAUGGGCGAAAGCCUGACGGAGCAACGCCGCGUGAGUGAUGAAGGUCUUCGGAUCGUAAAACUCUGUUAUUAGGGAAGAACAUAUGUGUAAGUAACUGUGCACAUCUUGACGGUACCUAAUCAGGAAGCCACGGCUAACUACGUG
This 496-nucleotide ribosomal RNA is filed under the name uncultured bacterium. RNAcentral's name for it is "partial 16S ribosomal RNA". It matches the Rfam family "Bacterial small subunit ribosomal RNA", at positions 29 to 507 of the family's 1533-position model. The record is from RNAcentral.